AUACGUAGGGAGCGAGCGUUGUCCGGAAUGACUGGGUGUAAAGGGAGCGUAGGCGGGAUGGCAAGUCAGAUGUGAAACCUGAGGGCUCAACCUUCAGACUGCAUUUGAAACUGCUGUUCUUGAGUGAAGUAGAGGUAAGCGGAAUUCCUGGUGUAGCGAUGAAAUGCGUAGAGAUCAGGAGGAACAUCGGUGGCGAAGGCGGCUUACUGGGCUUUUACUGACGCUGAGGCUCGAAAGCGUGGGGAGCAAACAGGAUUAGAUACCCUGGUAGUCCACGCUGUAAACGAUGAUUACUAGGUGUGGGGGGAUUGACCCCUUCCGUGCUGCAGUUAACACAAUAAGUAAUCCACCUGGGGAGUACGACCGCAAGGUUGAA
This 376-nucleotide ribosomal RNA is filed under the name uncultured bacterium. RNAcentral's name for it is "bacterial SSU rRNA". It matches the Rfam family "Bacterial small subunit ribosomal RNA", at positions 523 to 898 of the family's 1533-position model. The record is from RNAcentral.